Strongylocentrotus purpuratus (purple sea urchin) is the source of this 798-nucleotide long non-coding RNA. RefSeq lists it as uncharacterized. The record is from RefSeq and is a predicted model, not a curated record. Lineage: Eukaryota; Metazoa; Echinodermata; Echinoidea; Camarodonta; Strongylocentrotidae. The transcript is spliced from 2 exons.
AUUAUUGUGGGAAUGUGGACUAGUUUAUGUUUUAUGUAGAUCGCGGACUUGUCCGAUUAUGCAAAUUAGUUCGCUACGCGUGUUGCACAUGAUUUUGCGGAUGAAUGAUUUAUUGUGUGAUACGCCGCCCACGUUAAUGUGUUAACAUACAUGUUAGUAUUGAAUCACAUUCAUGUCACGUUCAAUUGCGGAGAGGACGUUGUUGCUGUGCCUGUAGCUGUGUAUUACAGAGUCACGCGGUUUCCUUGUUUUAGCGAGGGUUUUGGUUCAACUGUUUGGCAGUAUUUUCGAGGGCAAGAUCAGGACUUGCAUGUUGCAGCUUCUGUUGCUGAGCUGAGCUGAGUUGAUUGCUGGUAGUUUCUUGGUGUCUCCCUUUUCCCCUUCACUUCCUUCUCCACUGUAGUUGAGAGCUUCAGUGGUUUAUUGCUGAAGACUUUGGGUAUGUUUUAAUGAUAUUCUGGUAAAGUUUGCAACAGACUUUGUGUAACUUUACUCAGUCUAAUAUUGCAGUGUGUUUAACAAUUUAUAUGUAUAUUGAUGUUAUGGGACAAUUUUAUAUUUGUUCCAUCGUAUUAUAAAUACUUACAGAUAAGUACAUGUAUUCUUGUUUGUCUGAUGCAAGUAUGAUGCUCUGAUUACUGUUUGAGAUUCUUACAGCUGAUUUGAUGUUUAGAUAUAAUUAUGUCAUUCCAGUUAAUGAUUAUAAUAUUUGAUUUCAGUGAUUUUACAAGAGAAUCAAGAUGAAACAGAUUUGAUUUGGAGAUCAAGUUGUAAUUACUUAAUAUGACAUUUAAUCAA